RNAcentral lists this ribosomal RNA (267 nucleotides) under uncultured Flavobacteriaceae bacterium. RNAcentral describes it as "partial 23S ribosomal RNA". It matches the Rfam family "Bacterial large subunit ribosomal RNA", at positions 1 to 282 of the family's 2925-position model. The record is from RNAcentral. Lineage: Bacteria; Pseudomonadati; Bacteroidota; Flavobacteriia; Flavobacteriales; Flavobacteriaceae.
AAUAGGCUAAUUAAGAGCGUAAGGGGAAUGCCUUGGCUCUCAGAGGCGAAGAAGGACGUGAUAAGCUGCGAAAAGUUGCGGGGAGUGGCACAUACAUUUUGAUCCGCAAAUGUCCGAAUGGGGGAAACCCGGUUAUUUGAAGAAUAAUCAUCCAUUUAUGGAAGCUAACCCGGAGAACUGAAACAUCUAAGUACCCGGAGGAAAAGAAAACAAUAGUGAUUCCGCUAGUAGUGGCGAGCGAACGCGGAAUAGCCCAAACCUAAAUUG